GGGCGAGUAGCUCAAUCGGAUAGAGCACCAGCCUUCUAAGCUGGGGGUUGCAGGUUCGAUCCCUGCCUCGCCUACCA
This 77-nucleotide transfer RNA is filed under the name Granulicella sibirica. RNAcentral's name for it is "tRNA-Arg". It matches the Rfam family "tRNA". Rfam says of the family: Transfer RNA (tRNA) molecules are approximately 80 nucleotides in length. The record is from RNAcentral. Lineage: Bacteria; Pseudomonadati; Acidobacteriota; Terriglobia; Terriglobales; Acidobacteriaceae.